Hemibagrus wyckioides is the source of this 1793-nucleotide long non-coding RNA. RefSeq lists it as uncharacterized. Lineage: Eukaryota; Metazoa; Chordata; Actinopteri; Siluriformes; Bagridae. The transcript is spliced from 2 exons. The record is from RefSeq and is a predicted model, not a curated record.
UAUUUCAGUAAAGUAGAUGAGCAAUCUCAAGUGCAAGUCAGAACAAGACAGUGAUGAACAAAUUCCAAGGAAGCUGUUGUGAAGAACAGAAUCCACACAGGAGUAAAGGUAGCUGAACGAGUUAAACAGCAACCCUACAGACAUUUCUAUAGUAGAAAUUACAGCUAGAAGAGGAAGGAGAUGAAGAUUGGAGUUUUUUUUUCCUUGAAAAAAUUACUUGCUGUUUUGUCUUAAGAUCAGAAAAAUCUUGGUGGAUCUUGGUGCAGAGAUGGAGGAUGACAUUACAAAAGAGAAGAGAAGCUUUAACGAUACUCACUCAUAUGCCUGUAAAGUUAAAGAUGGAGGAAGUUUUGAUUCUUAUCCUAACACACCAAGCAAACAACCUCCCAAAAGACCAAAAAAAAUGUUGUUGUAUCUUCUGACAGACAAAGUGAACUCUCUUUAAGGGACGUGCCGGACAAUACUCUCCGAAUUCUCCCAGAAGGUUAAUGAGAGAUCUGACCAACUUGAAAGAAUAGUUAAAGAAAAUUCUUUUAACAUCAAAGUUCUGGGCAAAUCUCUUACCUCAGUGUAUGAUGAUGUAAUGGUUCUGCAGAAAGAAUAUGGACUGUCCAAGCAAUCCAAUGAAAACGUGGCAGAUGCUCUGGAUGUACCACACCGUCUUGGCAGACUCAAAACUUCGGAUGAUGACAGGAGAUUGAAAGCAAGACCAGUGGCCAUGAGAUUCAACUCACGGCCAGAGAUUUAAUCUGGAGAAACUAAAAAAACAAUGAGUAUCUGACCACCAAGGGUGCAGUUUAAGGAAGACUUGACUGUUUUUUGGCCGACUGUGGAGAGAGCAAGGAAAGAAGGCAAAAAUGCAUACUUCAGCUGAGCGAGGGCUUUCGUUGACGGAAAAGAGGUUCGUCUUGAAGAAGGCAACAGUACAUAGACUUAUGGUCAUCUUAUUGCAGUCUGUAGUAGGAGGUAUCCUGAAAGUUAAGGAUAAUGUUUGCUAGGGAAAAGAAGUUCUAAAUCUGAUGGUUAUAGCUGGAUGCACUUUGAGUUUUAUUUAAUGUUUACAACUAUAAAUGUUUUUGGUGAUAAUUUGUGUGAAUCUCAUUAUGUUAAAGUUUAAAGUUUAGGCUAUUUACUUACUUUUGUGAUUCAUUUAGUAAUCAUUUGAACAUUUAUGUCUCUUUCUUUAUUUUCUAUCAAUGCCAGAGGUAUUCGUGAUAUCCUAAAGAGAAAGGCUUUGUUUUUGUAUUGCAAAGGGAAAUGUGUAGAUUUUUGUUCAAUUCAAGAAACACAUGCAUGCUCUUCAGACACUGUGUUUUGGACAAAUCAGUGGGGAAAAGAGAUUUGGUUGACAUUUGGCAGCAAUCUUUCAGCCGGGAUCACUAUUUUACAAGAUAAAUUUAUAGAGCAAGUACUAAAUUAUGAGAAAGAUGAUUGUGGUAGAUGGAUAUUACUUAUGAUAGACAAGGAUAAUGAACAAUUUGCAUUAGACAAUUGUUCUGCCACUAAUAAUAAAGUUAACAAUGACAUACUUUUUUUAAAUAUUGAAUCAAGAAUUCAGCAUUUCAUUUCGCUAUAUCCUUCAGCCCAAGUUAUUUGGGGAGGAGAUUUCAAUACUGUGUUUAAUGAAACCAUUGAUAGAAAUGGUUGGACUGGGCCCUUCUAGUGAACUGGAUAAUGUAUGUUUAAGAUUAAAGCUUUACUGGUGUGUGGUGAUGUAAUAAUCCAGGCAAGGAAGAACAGACCUAGAGUAAUAAGGACUCAUCUCUUCAUUCUUAUACUGACUAUUGGUUAGU